CCGCCUCCGCAGUGAGCGUCGCGACGCCUGACGAGCGCCGUUAGCCGCGAUCGCACGAUCUUCGAUCCCGGGCACGAGGCCCAGAAAAUCGGAACGCGCGUGCUGCCCGAAGCGCAGAGAUCAUCCGUACGAGUGCCGGGGUGAAAGAAAUUCGGCGAUACAAAUUCGUCCGUGUAAUUUCAAUCUCGUGAUUUUAAAAUACGGAUAACGCUCUGCGCGUUCUCGAUCGCUCGGAGAAUUGCUGUCGUAUUUAUUAUCGCUGUUGUUGUUGUUAUUAUUAUUAUUAUUGUCGUUUUAACGAGUAAUCGAGAUUGUGUUUGAUAAUAUACGUACGUAGUGUAUACCUGGGUAUAUACGAUUAUAAACGUAUGAAAACGAAAGAAGAAGAUGAAAGAAGACAAGAAAAUAACGAAUGUUUCGAUACUCGCGCCAAAAUUGAGGUGGUGAUCCGUUUUCGAUACACAAACUGCUCGCUGAUCGACGAACUGCCAGAGUUUCGAAAAAGAAGCUGAGCGUUCCCGAUGGCCAAGUUUUUCCGAACUAUCAGCUGGCUCGUCAUCGUAAAGAGUCUUGAAGAUAUACGGGAACGCCGUUAACGUCAUACCGACUAUAAAAUUUAUCCGAUGCAGGAUAAGGAGCUGACGCAAACGUAUCGGCUGAAAAACCUCGCCGGGAAUCCGGUGCUGCAAUCCUUAACGACAAACCCAUCGAACCGGUGCUGAUUCCGCACCUCGACGAUCAGCGGAAAUACGACGUCGCUACUUCAAAAAUGGACGGAUGUGGCGCGUCCAGCUGCCGCUGCGGGCUGCUUCCGGUUCUGCGGGGAAGAAGCUUGGAUCGAAUCUCCGCAAGCGCCGAUUAAUCAGCGUCCUUUCCUCUCGUUCCUCCGAAAUACGGCGGAUCGGAAUCGGUGGAUUUUAACGGACAAUGCAAAGCCCGGAAUUAACAGAGAAAAAGUUUUUCAGGGUAAAACCUUUCCUUGUCACCGAACGGGCGGAGUAAUCGCUGUGAUAUAUGGCUCUUCCAUUCCUGCCGGUUAACGAGUCCCGCAAAGAAUGAUGCCGAGGCGAUUCACAAUCGUGUGAAUGAACACAUCUGGCCGAAUCGAACGACGACUUUUCCUACUUCAGGUGAACACUGGCUUCGCACCACCCGGACGAUACUUUCGACUUUUUUUUUCCUUCUUCCAAGAUGAAUUACGAAGACGAUAUACGAGGAGGGCGGAGUGUGAAUGCGAGGGAAAGAUGAAGAAUCGAGGGGAUCAGGCUGCGGUUGACUCUCUCGUCGGUGCCUGCAAGUGAUUUUCACAAACGGCGAAAACGUUCUCCGGUUGGUGAAUCUGGCGACCUAGCCGGAGUCAUCGGAAUGUCGUUCGAUGAGUUUUGGAACGGACUGGAAUUGAAGCGUUCUCGAAGAAUUUUGCCCGGCAGAGCGAGAAUUAUUCGUGCCGAAAGAAUUAGAAACUCUCGACGGUCCAAGAAAAACGCGGUGGCCUUACGUCUUUGUCACGUUGUUUCUAAUACCGUGGAGUAAUCGAAUCCUAACGAUGCAGCUGCAUCAAUACGCAUACAGUGAUGUGAGACUAUCGGAAAAACUGAAUUCUCUAAUGCGACGAUUUUUCUAGGGCGACAAUAAAAACUCACCGUGUAAAAAGAUGCGAUAAAAUAGCACCAUAUGUACUUUACUCUUUCUUUAGGUAACGAACGAAGCUCUGUAAUGCAUUCGACGUAUCCAACUAUCGUCAAUUGUAUUCCAGCGAUAACUGCAAGGAGCUUUGUCCGAGCCGUUGAUAUGCACUGAGAACCAACAUCUGACACGCGAUAAUAUUGAUGGGUGGGUGUAUUUACGAGAACGAAGGAAAUGCGCUUUGCAUGUUCAGAGUUCUGAGAAAAGAACACUGCACUGUCUCUCGUCAAGCUUGGCAUCGAUAUCCCCUAAUGAUUAAUCAUCCCCCAUAGGUAGAAAUACAUUGCAAUAAAAAUCGUCCUGGUACAUUCAUCCCAAGAAAUCGAAUGAAUUCACCUACUGAACGAGAAUAAAAUGUAAGAAAUAGAAAUUGUCUCUCUUGGUAUCGUCUUUCUUUUUCACGAUCAAUAAUUACGUACGUAAUAUGUAAUCAUGUAAUCGCCGAUGCGGCAAUUCUCCCUCUUGGGGUAGUAAAUGUGUGAAAGCGUUGGCGAAUAUGGUAUUUAACAUUGUUCAAUGUAGCAGGAAAUUUAAUUUUAUUGUCAGCUGCGAGCAAUUUAUGAGUUGCGAGUGAUUUGCAAUUAUGAAAUGUGGUAUGAUUUGAAAAUUUAUAUCCAAAAUAGCGAAGUCCUGCAGGAACACCGGACAAUUUAAAUAUCACUAUCGCAAUGAGGAGCGUCAGAAUCUCUUUUGUUUUUGUUAGUAUUCGUAAAACACGUAAUGAAAUUAAACCAUCGUUACAAAGAUCAAAAAUUUUAUUUUCCCUGUUGAAAAAAUUGAUCGUUGUAAAGAAAAUAGAGAAAAACAGAAACCGGACUUCGAUCAAGUCCGGAACGUUUGCGGAAAUCUUUGUGAUCACGGCGAUACUGCGGAAACGAAAAAUAAAAUUUUUUUUUUCAAAAUUAGUGAACCGUUCGUCUGAUUCACGGGUUAUUGUAUCGUGCCGGUUGUCGAGUUGAUCUGACGACGAAGCUGAAUAACGCAUGAAGUGUUAUACCAUGUGCAAUUGAACAGUGAAUAAAAUAAACAUAUACAUGUAUAAUAUAUGCCAUAACUUUGUCUAUUCAUGUAUAAUUAGCGAGUAACUUUUUACAUUAUAAUUGUUAUACCGAACACAUUAUGUAUAUUGAAGUAUCGAGGAUAUAAUCUAUAUUCAUAUGUAUUGGUAUGUAGAUUGAAGUUCGAAGAAAAGAGAGAUUCAACUAUGUAUACAUACAUAUUGUAUGUAUAUGUAUAUUAAAGGGACAGAGGAGAUGGUAUCGUUUUGUAAAUAUGCUAAACACGCGACAAGCUGAAUAUUUAUAAUAACUUACACAUGAUACAUUUAUUACGUUCGUGAAUUGAUUAUACCUACCGCAUGACAAAAUAUACCGCAUAGCUGCCGCAGUGACAGAGUUAAAUACGCAUUGCACAAUAGUAUCGUUAAUACAAGUUUAUAUUGUCGUUGUGCAGAAAGGAGAUAUUACUUUGAAUGUCGAUUAAUUCUAAGUUGAACAACGACCGUAUAAUCGCCGCAGGUAUACAUAUACAGCUGAUCCAUACAUAAAUAAUUGAGUCAAAUAACUUGGAGAAAAUGAAACCCGUUGUUUUCGAUUAAUGAUCGUUAUUAGUCGCGGAUAAAUGAAUAAAUUUUCUAAAUCGUGUAAGAACGCGAUGGAGAAUAAUUGAUUGGUGAAAAUAAAAAUAAAAAACUUGUGCAUCUGAGGGAAGAUAAGGAUGAGAAAUUGAACAAGUAUAAAUAGACAAAUAAAUAGAGGAAUAGAUGAUUAAAAAAAAAAAUAAAUAAAAAAAUAAAAAAAGCGCGCAAGACAGGGUAGAUAUUAAAUACAUUAUAGGGACCACCGCUGUGAUCCAAGGACCGCACGGA
Molecule: long non-coding RNA, 3553 nt
Organism: Neodiprion virginianus
Lineage: Eukaryota; Metazoa; Arthropoda; Insecta; Hymenoptera; Diprionidae
Exons: 3
Source: RefSeq, a predicted model, not a curated record